Schistocerca cancellata (South American locust) is the source of this 107-nucleotide small nuclear RNA. The record is from RefSeq and is a predicted model, not a curated record. Lineage: Eukaryota; Metazoa; Arthropoda; Insecta; Orthoptera; Acrididae.
GUACUUGCUUCGGCAGUACAUAUACUAAAAUUGGAACGAUACAGAGCAGAUCAGCAUGGCCCCUGCGCAAGGAUGACACGCAAAAUUAAAAAAAAAAAAAAGUUGGU